Molecule: ribosomal RNA, 193 nt
Filed under: uncultured bacterium
Lineage: Bacteria
Description: partial 16S ribosomal RNA
Rfam family: Bacterial small subunit ribosomal RNA
Source: RNAcentral
CCUACGGGAGGCAGCAGUGGGGAAUUGUUCGCAAUGGGCGCAAGCCUGACGACGCAACGCCGCGUGGAGGAUGAAGGUCUUCGGAUUGUAAACUCCUGUUGCCCGGGACGAAUGGCUUCAACCUAACACGUUGGAGUGUGACGGUACCGGGUGAGGAAGCCCCGGCUAACUCUGUGCCAGCAGCCGCGGUAAU